This 260-nucleotide ribosomal RNA is filed under the name uncultured bacterium. Its description in RNAcentral is "partial 16S ribosomal RNA". It matches the Rfam family "Bacterial small subunit ribosomal RNA", at positions 9 to 263 of the family's 1533-position model. The record is from RNAcentral.
GAGUUUGAUCUUGGCUCAGGAUGAACGCUAGCGGCAGGCCUAAUACAUGCAAGUCGAACGAUAGUUGUCAGCUUGCUGAUAACGAAAAGUGGGCGCACGGGUGCGUAACGCGUAUGCAACCUACCUUAAUCAGGGGGAUAGCCCGAAGAAAUUCGGAUUAAACACCGCAAUAAAAACACAGUACAGCAUUGUACAAUGUUCAAAUAUUAUAGGAUUAAGAUGGGCAUGCGUGACAUUUAGUUAGUUGGACGGGGUAACGG